This 2810-nucleotide unclassified non-coding RNA is filed under the name Amphibalanus amphitrite. RNAcentral describes it as "protein disulfide-isomerase-like, transcript variant X3". The record is from RNAcentral. Lineage: Eukaryota; Metazoa; Arthropoda; Thecostraca; Balanomorpha; Balanidae.
GCCAAUGAGGCCAUCACACGACAAGCGACUGCCACGUUCGCCGCCGGAGCCGGCUUUUCGGAGAUUCUCGUCGGGCGAUCUUCCCAUUUCACCGCUUGGCACAAGUUUGAUCGGAAGGGGGCUUGCAGUGUUUUCAUCAUGAGGUUGAUUCUGUCACUGUGCGUUUUGUUCGUGUCUGCAUAUGCAGCGAUCGAGGAAGACGAAGGAGUGUUGGUUCUUACCAACGACAACUUCGACGAAGCGAUCAGUGGUCAUGAGUUCAUUCUUGUGGAAUUCUACGCCCCGUGGUGUGGACACUGCAAAGCCCUCGCCCCCGAGUACGCCAAGGCGGCCCAGGCGCUGGCCAAGGAGGAGUCAAACGUGAAGCUGGCCAAGCUGGACGCCACCGUGCACGACAAGGUGGCGCAGAAGUUCGGUGUGCGCGGCUACCCCACCCUCAAGUUCUUCCGCAACGGCAAGGACAGCGAGUACGGCGGCGGACGCACAAAGGACGAGAUCGUCAACUGGCUGAAGAAGAAGACUGGCCCGCCGGCGACCAACGUUGAGACUGUCGAGGCCGCUGAGAAGGCCAUCGAGGGCAAGGACGUCGUCAUCGUCGGCUUCUUCAAGGACCAGGAGAGCAAGGAUGCCAAGGCUUUCCUCAGCUUCGCCGGCGGCGUCGACGACUACCCCUUCGUCAUCAGCUCUGCCGACGAUGUCAUCAGCAAGUACGAGGCGGCCGACGGCAAGGUCGUCAUGAUCAAGACCUUCGACGAGAAGCGUCAUGAGCUUGAGGGAGACAUCAACGAUGACAACCUGAAGGCCUUCAUCGCCAAGUACUCUCUGCCCCUGGUGGUUGAGUUCAACCAGGAGACCGCUCAGAAGAUCUUCGGCGGCGAGAUCAAGGCGCACCUGCUGAUGUUCCUGAGCAAGAAGUCUGAAGAUUUCGCCAAGCACACAGAGGCCGCCUCCGCUGUGGCUAAGGAGCAGCGCGGAAAGAUUCUGGUCGUCUCCAUCGACACGGACGAGGAGGAUCACGCCCGCAUCAUGGAGUUCUUCGGCAUGAAGGCCGAGGAAGUGCCCGCCCUGCGCAUCAUCAAGAUGGAGGAAGACAUGACCAAGUACAAGCCGGAGAAGACCGGUCUUGAGGAGGCCACCAUUCGCUCCUUCGUGGAGGACUUCCUGGCUGACAAGCUGAAGCAGCACCUGCUGAGCCAGGACCUGCCAGAGGACUGGGAUAAGGCCGGCGUCAAGGUGCUCGUCUCCAGCAACUUCGACGAGGUGGCGCUGGACAAGACGAAGGACGUGCUGGUCGAGUUCUACGCGCCGUGGUGCGGACACUGCAAGCAGCUGGUGCCCAUCUAUGACGAGCUGGGUGAGAAGUACAAGGACUCUGAGACGGUGGUAAUUGCCAAGAUGGACGCCACUGCUAACGAGCUGGAGCACACCAAGAUUCAGAGCUUCCCCACCAUCAAACUGUGGAAGAAGGAGACCAACGAGAUAGUCGAGUACGGCGGUGACCGCAAACUCGAGAGUCUGGUCAAGUUCGUCGAGUCGGGCGGCGUGGAGGGCAAGGCUACCGAGUCCGAGGCAGAGGCAGAGGACGAGGAGGAGGCAGAGGGAGGAGAGGUAGAGCAGCGAGAGUGACGGGGUUCACAGGACGCAGCGCCAGAGUGCAGAGUUGCCGUGCAGCACUACAGGCUACAGCUUUAGUAGCCGCCGCUGUGACCUGACCUGACCUCACACCGCCAACCGGUGGUGCCGCUGUGUAUGUGUGCUGUGCCGCUUCCCCACCCCUGGGAACCCCCGCUUAGUGUGCUCCACUAGUGCUCCAGUGUGUUCUUGGCGAACGCUGAGCACCGCUUUCCUUGGUUGUAGGUCGUAGACUACAACGGCGAGCGAACUCUGGACGGAUUCACUAAGUUCCUCGAGGGCAAACAAGAAGAGGAGGGCGAGGAGGAGGAGGAAGAAGAGGAAGAGGAUGAGGGAAAGCACGACGAGUUGUAGAUCUCCUUCAGCCGCGUGAGGCCGCCUGUGAGAGCGGCCUUCUUUCCUUUCUUCCCGGAAAGCUGCGUACGCCAGCCGCAAAAGGCCUAUUUUUGAUACGUUGGCUGGCAGCCCGGUCCGCGGCCACUGGACGUGGUCUGCUAAAGAGUGGGGGCAGGGACUGGGGACGUGAAUUUGAUCUGUGCAACGUUCAUUAUGGGGGUGGUCUCGUCCACCAGUGACACAGGGCAUAUUUUGUAACAGAGUGAGAGAAAGAGAGACUGCUGGUUUUUUGUUUUGCACCGCUGGUUGCUUGUUGUCUACUUCCGUUGGCGGGCCCUUUCCACAGAGUUUUUACACGCGCAUGCGUAGAAUUCCGGUGUCUGUGACUGCGGCGUCGGUGGUUUUAUUCGUGUUGUGUGUAGAAUAUUUAUGAGACGGGCCGCUGUGCGGCGGAUGUCUGGUUGAGGGCGUCUGAUACGACCCCGUCGAGUCACAACUCGGCCGAUAAAUCCCCAUGGGCUCCCUGUCCGCGGAGUGAAAUUUAUACCAUCGUUCGGUGCGGAUUUACACUAAAUGUGCAGUUCGUCUUUCAAAUUCUGCGCCGGCGUCGCCGCCCGCCGCGGCUGCCCCGCGCGGGAAUUCCUUCACCGGGUGAAGCGAUUUCUUGUGUUUGUGAAGAGAUUCCGUCACGUGGAGAGGGUUUUUGGUGCGUGGCAGCGCGCGCGGCGGACGGCAGUGCCGGCGGGCGCUCGUUUGGGUGAACCUGCACGGUGCGAUGGGUGACCAGAUGUUUUCCGAACUCCUGUUGGCUCAGCGACGAAUACAUGGCGACUAAAGGUGAA